RNAcentral lists this ribosomal RNA (468 nucleotides) under Streptococcus sanguinis. Its description in RNAcentral is "bacterial SSU rRNA". It matches the Rfam family "Bacterial small subunit ribosomal RNA", at positions 38 to 490 of the family's 1533-position model. Lineage: Bacteria; Bacillati; Bacillota; Bacilli; Lactobacillales; Streptococcaceae. The record is from RNAcentral.
GGCGGCGUGCCUAAUACAUGCAAGUAGAACGCUGAAGAGAAGAGCUUGCUCUUCUUGGAUGAGUUGCGAACGGGUGAGUAACGCGUAGGUAACCUGCCUGGUAGCGGGGGAUAACUAUUGGAAACGAUAGCUAAUACCGCAUAAAAUUGAUUAUUGCAUGAUAAUUAAUUGAAAGAUGCAAUUGCAUUACUACCAGAUGGACCUGCGUUGUAUUAGCUAGUUGGUGAGGUAACGGCUCACCAAGGCGACGAUACAUAGCCGACCUGAGAGGGUGAUCGGCCACACUGGGACUGAGACACGGCCCAGACUCCUACGGGAGGCAGCAGUAGGGAAUCUUCGGCAAUGGGGGGAACCCUGACCGAGCAACGCCGCGUGAGUGAAGAAGGUUUUCGGAUCGUAAAGCUCUGUUGUAAGAGAAGAACGGGUGUGAGAGUGGAAAGUUCACACUGUGACGUAUCUACCAGAAAG